UCUAGCCAUGGGCAGGUUGAAGGUUGGGUAACACUAACUGGAGGACCGAACCGACUAAUGUUGAAAAAUUAGCGGAUGACUUGUGGCUGGGGGUGAAAGGCCAAUCAAACCGGGAGAUAGCUGGUUCUCCCCGAAAGCUAUUUAGGUAGCGCCUCGUGAAUUCAUCUCCGGGGGUAGAGCACUGUUUCGGCAAGGGGGUCAUCCCGACUUACCAACCCGAUGCAAACUGCGAAUACCGGAGAAUGUUAUCACGGGAGACACACGGCGGGUGCUAACGUCCGUCGUGAAGAGGGAAACAACCCAGACCGCCAGCUAAGGUCCCAAAGUCAUGGUUAAGUGGGAAACGAUGUGGGAAGGCCCAGACAGCCAGGAUGUUGGCUUAGAAGCAGCCAUCAUUUAAAGAAAGCGUAAUAGCUCACUGGUCGAGUCGGCCUGCGCGGAAGAUGUAACGGGGCUAAACCAUGCACCGAAGCUGCGGCAGCGACGCUUAUGCGUUGUUGGGUAGGGGAGCGUUCUGUAAGCCUGUGAAGGUGUGCUGUGAGGCAUGCUGGAGGUAUCAGAAGUGCGAAUGCUGACAUAAGUAACGAUAAAGCGGGUGAAAAGCCCGCUCGCCGGAAGACCAAGGGUUCCUGUCCAACGUUAAUCGGGGCAGGGUGAGUCGACCCCUAAGGCGAGGCCGAAAGGCGUAGUCGAUGGGAAACAGGUUAAUAUUCCUGUACUUGGUGUUACUGCGAAGGGGGGACGGAGAAGGCUAUGUUGGCCGGGCGACGGUUGUCCCGGUUUAAGCGUGUAGGCUGGUUUUCCAGGCAAAUCCGGAAAAUCAAGGCUGAGGCGUGAUGACGAGGCACUACGGUGCUGAAGCAACAAAUGCCCUGCUUCCAGGAAAAGCCUCUAAGCAUCAGGUAACAUCAAAUCGUACCCCAAACCGACACAGGUGGUCAGGUAGAGAAUACCAAGGCGCUUGAGAGAACUCGGGUGAAGGAACUAGGCAAAAUGGUGCCGUAACUUCGGGAGAAGG
This 1018-nucleotide ribosomal RNA is filed under the name Escherichia coli. Its description in RNAcentral is "partial 23S ribosomal RNA". It matches the Rfam family "Bacterial large subunit ribosomal RNA", at positions 729 to 1746 of the family's 2925-position model. Lineage: Bacteria; Pseudomonadati; Pseudomonadota; Gammaproteobacteria; Enterobacterales; Enterobacteriaceae. The record is from RNAcentral.